CAUACGGUUGUUGAUGAUGAUGAUCAGAUCACAUUUUAUGACCAAUUUGUGCAGAAAUCCAUAUCAUUCCAAAGGGUUCACAUACUUUUUCUUGCAACUGUAUAAAACACUAUUUCAUGUUGUAGCUUAGAAGAAAUAGCAACUGUGGUUGCUCAACUAAGUGAACUUUCGGCUUUAGCCAAAAUACUGGUGUCUCUCACCCAUAGUUGUGCAUAAUGGGGUUAGUCAUAACAAAGUGAAG
Molecule: non-coding RNA, 241 nt
Organism: Pelobates cultripes (western spadefoot toad)
Lineage: Eukaryota; Metazoa; Chordata; Amphibia; Anura; Pelobatidae
Source: the annotation of a GenBank genome assembly